RNAcentral lists this ribosomal RNA (466 nucleotides) under uncultured bacterium. RNAcentral's name for it is "partial 16S ribosomal RNA". It matches the Rfam family "Bacterial small subunit ribosomal RNA", at positions 28 to 505 of the family's 1533-position model. The record is from RNAcentral.
GACGAACGCUGGCGGCGUGCUUAACACAUGCAAGUCGAACGGAAAGGCCCUGCUUUUGUGGGGUGCUCGAGUGGCGAACGGGUGAGUAACACGUGAGUAACCUGCCCUUGACUUUGGGAUAACUUCAGGAAACUGGGGCUAAUACCGGAUAGGAGCUCCUGCUGCAUGGUGGGGGUUGGAAAGUUUCGGCGGUUGGGGAUGGACUCGCGGCUUAUCAGCUUGUUGGUGGGGUAGUGGCUUACCAAGGCUUUGACGGGUAGCCGGCCUGAGAGGGUGACCGGCCACAUUGGGACUGAGAUACGGCCCAGACCCCUACGGGAGGCAGCAGUGGGGAAUAUUGCACAAUGGGCGGAAGCCUGAUGCAGCAACGCCGCGUGCGGGAUGACGGCCUUCGGGUUGUAAACCGCUUUCGCCUGUGACGAAGCGUGAGUGACGGUAAUGGGUAAAGAGGCACCGGCUAACUACG